UUAUCGAAAUCGUGGACAUGCAGAUACGGUGUUCGAUCCUUAAACUCGCCUUUGGAGUUCUUAUCGGCGACGCAGAAGUCUUGAAGAGGGCUAGGAUCAGAAGCCAUUGCGAGAGAGGAAGCCAUGGCAAGGAGAGCGAUGAGGAGGAUUUUGGCUGCCAUCUUUAGGAUGGAUGAAGCUACUAUUGGUGUUGUGAUACAAAUGCACGAAGGAGAUGGAUAUAUAGAGAGGGGGAGGGGGAGAGAGGCAGGGUUGAAACAUUCUUGAUCAUUUGGUAAGAGAGCUGAAUAGUAUGCCUUUUGCUUAAAAUAAUAAUGUCUAUGGACUGUGCGUGCUUCUUAUCUUGUGCAGAGAAAGAGUCUACCAAGAGGAGC
This 374-nucleotide long non-coding RNA is filed under the name Musa acuminata (dwarf banana). RNAcentral's name for it is "long non-coding RNA (MACU_LNC007015)". The record is from RNAcentral. Lineage: Eukaryota; Viridiplantae; Streptophyta; Magnoliopsida; Zingiberales; Musaceae.